RNAcentral lists this ribosomal RNA (612 nucleotides) under Channa marulioides (emperor snakehead). RNAcentral's name for it is "partial 16S ribosomal RNA". It matches the Rfam family "Bacterial large subunit ribosomal RNA", at positions 1797 to 2617 of the family's 2925-position model. The record is from RNAcentral. Lineage: Eukaryota; Metazoa; Chordata; Actinopteri; Anabantiformes; Channidae.
CGCCUGUUUUUCAAAAACAUCGCCUCUUGUAAACCAAAUAUAAGAGGUCCCGCCUGCCCAGUGACAACAAGUUAAACGGCCGCGGUAUUUUGACCGUGCAAAGGUAGCGCAAUCACUUGUCUUUUAAAUGAAGACCCGUAUGAAUGGCACAACGAGGGCCUAACUGUCUCCUUUUUCAAGUCAAUGAAAUUGAUCUCCCCGUGCAGAAGCGGGGAUAAUAACAUAAGACGAGAAGACCCUAUGGAGCUUUAGACACUAGAGCAGACCUUGUUAAACUAACUCUAAACAAAGAACUAAACCAAAAGGAUCCUGCCCACAUGUCUUUGGUUGGGGCGACCGCGGGGAACACAAAACCCCCAUGUGGAACGGGAGAACUCCUCCCACAACCAAGAGCUACAGCUCUAAGCAAUAGAAUUUCUAACCAAAAUGAUCCGGCAAUGCCGAUCAACGGACCGAGUUACCCUAGGGAUAACAGCGCAAUCCCCUUCUAGAGCCCAUAUCGACAAGGGGGUUUACGACCUCGAUGUUGGAUCAGGACACCCUAAUGGUGCAGCCGCUAUUAAGGGUUCGUUUGUUCAACGAUUAAAGUCCUACGUGAUCUGAGUUCCAGAC